AGUGAACGCUGGCGGUAGGCCUAACACAUGCCAGUCGAACGGCAGCACAGUAAGAGCUUGCUCUUACGGGUGGCGAGUGGCGGACGGGUGAGGAAUACAUCGGAAUCUACUUUUUCGUGGGGGAUAACGUAGGGAAACUUACGCUAAUACCGCAUACGACCUACGGGUGAAAGCAGUGGAUCUUCGGACCUUGCGCGAUUGAAUGAGCCGAUGUCGGAUUAGCUAGUUGGCGGGGUAAAGGCCCACCAAGGCGACGAUCCGUAGCUGGUCUGAGAGGAUGAUCGGCCACACUGGAACUGAGACACGGUCCAGACUCCUACGGGAGGCAGCAGUGGGGAAUAUUGGACAAUGGGCGCAAGCCUGAUCCAGCCAUACCGCGUGGGUGAAGAAGGCCUUCGGGUUGUAAAGCCCUUUUGUUGGGAAAGAAAAGCAGCAGGUUAAUACCCAGCUGUUCUGACGGUACCCAAAGAAUAAGCACCGGCUAACUUCGUG
This 492-nucleotide ribosomal RNA is filed under the name uncultured bacterium. RNAcentral's name for it is "partial 16S ribosomal RNA". It matches the Rfam family "Bacterial small subunit ribosomal RNA", at positions 29 to 507 of the family's 1533-position model. The record is from RNAcentral.